UGAAAGGUCUGCCUCCUUGGUCCUGGAA
Molecule: non-coding RNA, 28 nt
Filed under: Rattus norvegicus (Norway rat)
Lineage: Eukaryota; Metazoa; Chordata; Mammalia; Rodentia; Muridae
Source: RNAcentral